This 894-nucleotide ribosomal RNA is filed under the name Lactobacillaceae bacterium. RNAcentral's name for it is "bacterial SSU rRNA". It matches the Rfam family "Bacterial small subunit ribosomal RNA", at positions 40 to 919 of the family's 1533-position model. The record is from RNAcentral. Lineage: Bacteria; Bacillati; Bacillota; Bacilli; Lactobacillales; Lactobacillaceae.
CGUUGGCCCAAUUGAUUGAUGGUGCUUGCACCUGAUUGAUUUUGGUCGCCAACGAGUGGCGGACGGGUGAGUAACACGUAGGUAACCUGCCCAGAAGCGGGGGACAACAUUUGGAAACAGAUGCUAAUACCGCAUAACAACGUUGUUCGCAUGAACAACGCUUAAAAGAUGGCUUCUCGCUAUCACUUCUGGAUGGACCUGCGGUGCAUUAGCUUGUUGGUGGGGUAAUGGCCUACCAAGGCGAUGAUGCAUAGCCGAGUUGAGAGACUGAUCGGCCACAAUGGGACUGAGACACGGCCCAUACUCCUACGGGAGGCAGCAGUAGGGAAUCUUCCACAAUGGGCGCAAGCCUGAUGGAGCAACACCGCGUGAGUGAAGAAGGGUUUCGGCUCGUAAAGCUCUGUUGUUAAAGAAGAACACGUAUGAGAGUAACUGUUCAUACGUUGACGGUAUUUAACCAGAAAGUCACGGCUAACUACGUGCCAGCAGCCGCGGUAAUACGUAGGUGGCAAGCGUUAUCCGGAUUUAUUGGGCGUAAAGAGAGUGCAGGCGGUUUUCUAAGUCUGAUGUGAAAGCCUUCGGCUUAACCGGAGAAGUGCAUCGGAAACUGGAUAACUUGAGUGCAGAAGAGGGUAGUGGAACUCCAUGUGUAGCGGUGGAAUGCGUAGAUAUAUGGAAGAACACCAGUGGCGAAGGCGGCUACCUGGUCUGCAACUGACGCUGAGACUCGAAAGCAUGGGUAGCGAACAGGAUUAGAUACCCUGGUAGUCCAUGCCGUAAACGAUGAGUGCUAGGUGUUGGAGGGUUUCCGCCCUUCAGUGCCGGAGCUAACGCAUUAAGCACUCCGCCUGGGAGUACGACCGCAAGGUUGAAACUCAAAGGAUUUGACGGGGG